UCUAUUCACGGGGUCACUCCGUUCAUGGACUCGACAGAGGAGGAGUUUGAGAGGAUGUAUAGUGGUGUUUUGGGUGGUGGUGUGCCUGCUGUGGAUGAGGGUUCAGUGUAGUUUGUGGAUGCUAGUGGUUUGCCUGGUAGCAUUGAAUGGAGAGAGAAAGGAGUUGUCACUGAUGUCAAGAUUCAGGGUGCUUGUGGAUCAUGCUGGGCUUUUAGCACCACUGGAUCUGUUGAAGGAGCAAAUUUUAUUGCAACAAGGAAGCUUCUCAACCUUAGUGAACAACAGCUUGUUGAUUGUGACAGUGUGGUUAGUUUCUGAUUCCCCUUUUGAUCUCUUGUUCUGAUCAUUAGACAGGCAUCACAACACCAAUAACUUUAGACACGACAUCACCUCAAAUUGGAGAAGUUUUGUCAUCAAAAUCAAGACCGGAAAACUCAAAUAUAAUAUCCACUGAUUUCCUUGAGAUUUUGGUGCAACGUGACAAUAAGACAGAAAAGACUUCCUGUGAUGAGGUUGCGGUGGAGGAUUCAUGACCAAUGCCUACAGGUGUUUGAUCGAGGCAGGGGGGUUACAAGAGGAGAGAACAUACCCUUAAACAGAGAAACGUGGGGAAUGCAAGUUUGAUCCUGAGAAAAUAGCUGUAAGUUGCGGCAAAUUUAGUUCACCAUGGACUUCUUGCAACUGCAUUGACUGCAAUAUUAAUGCAAACUUGUAUUAGAGGGGUCUCGUGCCCAGUUAUUCGCGGCAAGAAAUGGCUCAACCGUGGUGUUCUACUUGUUGGGAAUGGUGCAAGAGGUUACUCCAUUCUUAAUUAGGUCUGGCUACAAGCCGGACUGGAUCAUCAGGAAUUCAUGGGGUGAGCAAUGGGGAGAGAAGUGACAUUACCUUCUUUGCAGGGGACAUGGCGUGUGUGGCAUGAACAAGAUGGUCUCUGCAGUGGUAACCAAAGUUGCCUAAAUAUAACUAUGCAAGCAAAACCAAAGGAAAGAAGAAGAAAAAAUGGUUUGUUUGAUUUAGUUUAAGUCUAGCUAACUAGCUAGCUUUUGUUAUUUUGCUACUUAACAAAAGAUCCGGUUUGUUGCAGUUUUGUGGCUUUAGGCUGUUAGCCACGAAGGCAUCAUAUAUGAGCCAAUGUCUUAAAGUCACCUAGUAAUUUAGAGUGACGGAGUUUCUCAAUUUUAAAUGAUUGUAGACUCUUUUUUCCAUGCUUUGCUUUGUCUAGAACCACCUUCUUGGUGAACCGGCGUCGGAUUUUCUUUCUUCACUUGAAAAAUCUGAUCCUGAGAAACUUGAAGUUGUUUUCUGUGUGUUUGACUUCAAGUUAGAAAAUAUUGUCAUCUUGAAGUCUUUCCUCUUUAUAAAAAACGUCUUGAUCACCAUCAUUUUCAUGGAAACUAUUCAUUUUGCGACCAAACAAAUUGAACACGACCUCCAGCCUUGCCGCCACUUUUCAUACUGAAAACUCCUGAAUUGUUUUACAUGUUUACUUGCGACUUUGAAUGAAUUCGAACUACAUCCUUGCAGGCCAAGUUUAUCCAUCAAAUAUGCUCCCUGAAUAAUUAUAUUUUAU
Molecule: long non-coding RNA, 1570 nt
Organism: Populus euphratica (Euphrates poplar)
Lineage: Eukaryota; Viridiplantae; Streptophyta; Magnoliopsida; Malpighiales; Salicaceae
Exons: 3
Source: RefSeq, a predicted model, not a curated record